GUAGUCCACGCCCUAAACGAUGGAUACUAGACGUCGGAAUACCUAAUUGUUUCGGUGUCGAAGCUAACGCAUUAAGUAUCCCGCCUGGGAAGUACGGUCGCAAGAUUAAAACUCAAAGGAAUUGACGGGGGCCCGCACAAGCGGUGGAGUAUGUGGUUUAAUUCGAUGCUACGCGAAAAACCUUACCCAGACUUGACAUCCGACGCUACCCUAUGAAAGUAGGGGUUCCCUUCGGGGACGUCGAGACAGGUGCUGCAUGGCUGUCGUCAGCUCGUGUUGUGAGAUGUUGGGUUAAGUCCCGCAACGAGCGCAACCCGUGUCACUAGUUACCAUCAUUAAGUUGGGCACUCUAGUGAGACCGCUUGGCUAUAAGCCAGA
Molecule: ribosomal RNA, 378 nt
Filed under: uncultured bacterium
Lineage: Bacteria
Description: bacterial SSU rRNA
Rfam family: Bacterial small subunit ribosomal RNA
Source: RNAcentral